AUAACAAACUAUUUCAAAAAUUGUUUUUAGGGAAAUAGGACACAUGUCCCUCUAAGAAAAACCAAUUAAAAAUAGGCAAAUUAACAAACUUAAACUAUUAUUUAAGUUCUUACUUUUCAACUACUUACUUAACAAAAACAUGAUUAAUUUGUAACUUCAGUGAUUUGUCUGUAGGUCACGGGAGCAGUCUGGAGUUGUGUGUGGCUGGACCAGACUCUCUGAGUUGUCGUGUGAACUCUGCACACUGCACCAAGCCCCGAUGUGGCACCGUUGCCCUUGCUCAUAAUUAUUUUGCCAUUAUUUCUCUAGCCUUACAUGUUAUUUCUGU
Molecule: long non-coding RNA, 328 nt
Organism: Phyllostomus discolor (pale spear-nosed bat)
Lineage: Eukaryota; Metazoa; Chordata; Mammalia; Chiroptera; Phyllostomidae
Exons: 2
Source: RefSeq, a predicted model, not a curated record